Molecule: non-coding RNA, 72 nt
Organism: Bos taurus (domestic cattle)
Lineage: Eukaryota; Metazoa; Chordata; Mammalia; Artiodactyla; Bovidae
Source: Rfam
UCCCUCAUAGCUCAGUCGGUAAAGAAUCUGCCUGCAAUGCAGGAGGCCCAGGUUCAAUUCCUGGGUGGGGAU